RNAcentral lists this non-coding RNA (201 nucleotides) under Candidatus Roizmaniibacteriota. RNAcentral's name for it is "Candidatus Roizmanbacteria GlcN6P sequence". It matches the Rfam family "glmS glucosamine-6-phosphate activated ribozyme aptamer". Rfam says of the family: This entry contains a glucosamine-6-phosphate activated ribozyme that is found in the mRNA for GlmS. GlmS is an enzyme that uses fructose-6-phosphate and glutamine to generate glucosamine-6-phosphate. The ribozyme catalyses self cleavage of the glmS mRNA that is thought to regulate GlmS activity. The record is from RNAcentral.
GUAUAGGUAAAAGCGUGUGACCCCGCCUUUGGCGGGGAGACGAGGAGAGGGUAAUUCGAACUUUGGUUUGCGUAAACUUGUCCUGAGUGAGCGAAGCGAACCGAAGGAUCUGCGGGCACCCUCAGGUUGCAAUUGUCAACCUCAAGAUUUUCUUAAAAGCUCAAAGUAAUUUGAGAAACAAAAAGAAAAUCGAACAACUAC